RNAcentral lists this ribosomal RNA (613 nucleotides) under Salmonella enterica subsp. enterica serovar Durham. RNAcentral's name for it is "partial 23S ribosomal RNA". It matches the Rfam family "Bacterial large subunit ribosomal RNA", at positions 2330 to 2925 of the family's 2925-position model. The record is from RNAcentral. Lineage: Bacteria; Pseudomonadati; Pseudomonadota; Gammaproteobacteria; Enterobacterales; Enterobacteriaceae.
GUCGGACAUCAGGAGGUUAGUGCAAAGGCAUAAGCUAGCUUGACUGCGAGAGUGACGGCUCGAGCAGGUGCGAAAGCAGGUCUUAGUGAUCCGGUGGUUCUGAAUGGAAGGGCCAUCGCUCAACGGAUAAAAGGUACUCCGGGGAUAACAGGCUGAUACCGCCCAAGAGUUCAUAUCGACGGCGGUGUUUGGCACCUCGAUGUCGGCUCAUCACAUCCUGGGGCUGAAGUAGGUCCCAAGGGUAUGGCUGUUCGCCAUUUAAAGUGGUACGCGAGCUGGGUUUAGAACGUCGUGAGACAGUUCGGUCCCUAUCUGCCGUGGGCGCUGGAGAAUUGAGGGGGGCUGCUCCUAGUACGAGAGGACCGGAGUGGACGCAUCACUGGUGUUCGGGUUGUCAUGCCAAUGGCAUUGCCCGGUAGCUAAAUGCGGAAGAGAUAAGUGCUGAAAGCAUCUAAGCACGAAACUUGCCCCGAGAUGAGUUCUCCCUGAGACUUAGAGUCUCCUGAAGGAACGUUGAAGACGACGACGUUGAUAGGCCGGGUGUGUAAGCGCAGCGAUGCGUUGAGCUAACCGGUACUAAUGAACCGUGAGGCUUAACCUUACAACGCCGAAG